UAGCUCAGUGGUAGAGCGCUUGCCUUGCAUGCAUGAGGCCCUGAGUUUGAUUCCUCAG
Molecule: transfer RNA, 58 nt
Filed under: Dipodomys ordii (Ord's kangaroo rat)
Lineage: Eukaryota; Metazoa; Chordata; Mammalia; Rodentia; Heteromyidae
Rfam family: tRNA
About the family: Transfer RNA (tRNA) molecules are approximately 80 nucleotides in length. Their secondary structure includes four short double-helical elements and three loops (D, anti-codon, and T loops).
Source: Rfam by way of RNAcentral